GACGUAGGGCGCGAGCGUUGUCCGGAUUUAUUGGGCGUAAAGAGCUCGUAGGCGGCUUGUCGCGUCGACUGUGAAAACUCGGGGCUCAACUCCGAGCUUGCAGUGGGUACGGGCAGACUAGAGUGCGGUAGGGGAGACUGGAAUUCCUGGUGUAGCGGUGGAAUGCGCAGAUAUCAGGAGGAACACCGGUGGCGAAGGCGGGUCUCUGGGCCGUAACUGACGCUGAGGAGCGAAAGCAUGGGGAGCGAACAGG
RNAcentral lists this ribosomal RNA (253 nucleotides) under uncultured bacterium. Its description in RNAcentral is "partial 16S ribosomal RNA". It matches the Rfam family "Bacterial small subunit ribosomal RNA", at positions 524 to 776 of the family's 1533-position model. The record is from RNAcentral.